UUCGAGUCCCAUAACCGUACCUUACUCUGUGCCAGGCCUGUAGACUGGGGCCUGGACUUGCUUACUCUGUGCCAGGCCUGUAGCAUGGGGCCUGGUCUUCCUGUCUUGGACUAAUUGGGUCAUCCAACAUUCACCCACAACAACAACAAUUUAUGCAAUGCGACAUAUUCGUGAAACUAAUGCAAUCAUCCUAUUGCAUAAUCAUGAUGCAUGAAAC
RNAcentral lists this long non-coding RNA (217 nucleotides) under Manihot esculenta (cassava). RNAcentral describes it as "long non-coding RNA (MESC_LNC009985)". Lineage: Eukaryota; Viridiplantae; Streptophyta; Magnoliopsida; Malpighiales; Euphorbiaceae. The record is from RNAcentral.